Molecule: ribosomal RNA, 424 nt
Filed under: uncultured Flavobacterium sp.
Lineage: Bacteria; Pseudomonadati; Bacteroidota; Flavobacteriia; Flavobacteriales; Flavobacteriaceae
Description: bacterial SSU rRNA
Rfam family: Bacterial small subunit ribosomal RNA
Source: RNAcentral
UGAGGAAUAUUGGACAAUGGGCGCAAGCCUGAUCCAGCCAUGCCGCGUGCAGGAAGACGCAUCUAUGGUGUGUAAACUGCUUUUGUACGGGAAGAAACACUCCCUCGUGAGGGAGCUUGACGGUACCGUAAGAAUAAGGAUCGGCUAACUCCGUGCCAGCAGCCGCGGUAAUACGGAGGAUCCAAGCGUUAUCCGGAAUCAUUGGGUUUAAAGGGUCCGUAGGCGGUUUAAUAAGUCAGUGGUGAAAGCCCAUCGCUCAACGAUGGAACGGCCAUUGAUACUGUUAGACUUGAAUUACAAGGAAGUAACUAGAAUAUGUAGUGUAGCGGUGAAAUGCUUAGAUAUUACAUGGAAUACCAAUUGCGAAGGCAGGUUACUACUUGUGGAUUGACGCUGAUGGACGAAAGCGUGGGGAGCGAACAGG